This 334-nucleotide long non-coding RNA is filed under the name Salmo salar (Atlantic salmon). Its description in RNAcentral is "lncRNA (ENSSSAG00000104721.1)". The record is from RNAcentral. Lineage: Eukaryota; Metazoa; Chordata; Actinopteri; Salmoniformes; Salmonidae.
CAGUACCAGAUCAAUGUGUAGGGGUAAUAGAUAUAUACAGGGAGUACCAGAUCAAUGUGUAGGGGUAAUAGAUAUAUACAGGGAGAACCAGAUCAAUGUGGAGGGGUAAUAGAUAUAUACAGGGAGUACCAGAUCAAUAUCAAUGUGUAGGGGUAAUAGAUAUAUACAGGGAGUACCAGAUCAAUGUGUAGGGGUAAUAGAUAUAUACAGGGAGAACCAGAUCAAUGUGUAGGGGUAAUAGAUAUAUACAGGGAGUACCAGAUGAAUGUGGAGGGGUAAUAGAAAGUAUUGAGACUUUAUUCUAAAAUUGAUUAAAUUGUUUUUUUGUCCUCAU